AGAGACCGGCGCACGGGUGCGUAACGCGUAUGCAAUCUACCUUGUACAGAGGGAUAGCCCAGAGAAAUUUGGAUUAAUACCUCAUAGUAUAGCAGUUUCGCAUGAAACCACUAUUAAAGUCACAACGGUGAAAGAUGAGCAUGCGUCCCAUUAGCUAGAUGGUAAGGUAACGGCUUACCAUGGCAACGAUGGGUAGGGGUCCUGAGAGGGAGAUCCCCCACACUGGUACUGAGACACGGACCAGACUCCUACGGGAGGCAGCAGUGAGGAAUAUUGGACAAUGGGCGCAAGCCUGAUCCAGCCAUGCCGCGUGCAGGAUGACGGUCCUAUGGAUUGUAAACUGCUUUUGUACAGGAAGAAACACUCCCUCGUGAGGGAGCUUGACGGUACUGUAAGAAUAAGGAUCGGCUAACUCCGUGCCAGCAGCCGCGGUAAUACGGAGGAUCCAAGCGUUAUCCGGAAUCAUUGGGUUUAAAGGGUCCGUAGGCGGUUUAGUAAGUCAGUGGUGAAAGCCCAUCGCUCAACGGUGGAACGGCCAUUGAUACUGCUAAACUUGAAUUAUUAGGAAGUAACUAGAAUAUGUAGUGUAGCGGUGAAAUGCUUAGAGAUUACAUGGAAUACCAAUUGCGAAGGCAGGUUACUACUAAUGGAUUGACGCUGAUGGACGAAAGCGUGGGUAGCGAACAGGAAUAGAUACCCUGGUAGUCCACGCCGUAAACGAUGGAUACUAGCUGUU
This 736-nucleotide ribosomal RNA is filed under the name Flavobacterium sp. Its description in RNAcentral is "bacterial SSU rRNA". It matches the Rfam family "Bacterial small subunit ribosomal RNA", at positions 90 to 824 of the family's 1533-position model. Lineage: Bacteria; Pseudomonadati; Bacteroidota; Flavobacteriia; Flavobacteriales; Flavobacteriaceae. The record is from RNAcentral.